Molecule: ribosomal RNA, 253 nt
Filed under: uncultured bacterium
Lineage: Bacteria
Description: partial 16S ribosomal RNA
Rfam family: Bacterial small subunit ribosomal RNA
Source: RNAcentral
UACGAAGGGGGCUAGCGUUGUUCGGAAUUACUGGGCGUAAAGCGCACGUAGGCGGAUAUUUAAGUCAGGGGUGAAAUCCCGGGGCUCAACCCCGGAACUGCCUUUGAUACUGGGUAUCUAGAGUCCGGCAGAGGUGAGUGGAAUUCCGAGUGUAGAGGUGAAAUUCGUAGAUAUUCGGAGGAACACCAGUGGCGAAGGCGGCUCACUGGGCCGGUACUGACGCUGAUGUGCGAAAGCGUGGGGAGCAAACAGG